GCAGUCGUCGUCCAACGGUAGGAUCUCGGAGCGCCACUCCGAGGGUGCGGGUUCGAUUCCCGUCGACUGCU
RNAcentral lists this transfer RNA (71 nucleotides) under Myxococcales bacterium. Its description in RNAcentral is "tRNA-Gly". It matches the Rfam family "tRNA". From Rfam's summary of the family: Transfer RNA (tRNA) molecules are approximately 80 nucleotides in length. The record is from RNAcentral. Lineage: Bacteria; Pseudomonadati; Myxococcota; Myxococcia; Myxococcales.